CCUACGGGAGGCAGCAGUGAGGAAUAUUGGUCAAUGGACGCAAGUCUGAACCAGCCAUGCCGCGUGCAGGAAGACGGCUCUAUGAGUUGUAAACCGCUUUUGUACGAGGGUAAACGCAGAUACGCGUAUCUGUCUGAAAUUAUCGUACGAAUAAGGAUCGGCUAACUCCGUGCCAGCAGCCGCGGUAAUACGGAGGAUUCAAGCGUUAUCCGGAUUUAUUGGGUUUAAAGGGUGCGUAGGCGGUCGGAUAAGUUGGGGGUGAAAUCCCGAGGCUCAACGUCGGAAUUGCCUCUGACAGUGUUCGGCUAGAGAGUACGUGAGGUAGGCGGAAUGUAUGGUGUAGCGGUGAAAUGCUUAGAGAUCAUACAGAACACCGAUUGCGAAGGCAGCUUACCAAGCUACUUCUGACGUUGAGGCACGAAAGCGUGGGGAGCGAACAGGAUUAGAUACCCGAGUAGUC
Molecule: ribosomal RNA, 460 nt
Filed under: uncultured bacterium
Lineage: Bacteria
Description: partial 16S ribosomal RNA
Rfam family: Bacterial small subunit ribosomal RNA
Source: RNAcentral